UAUGAACCUUGAACUAGUCGUUUACACUACUACAUAUAUGCUGGUAUAGGGUAGACGGUGGUACUAGAUGUCUCCGCAAUUAUAAUUGUAAUGCAAGGAAUUAGACACGUGAUAAAAAUGCCAAUACAUUUAUUGCGUAGGAAGACGUUAGCCAACUCGAAAAGUAAACAACAAAAUCUGGGCAACAAAAGUUUGUCGUAGACCAGCCUUUGCAAGAAGAAGUCUCUGUGUUCAGAAAGUACUUUAUGCGAUAUUUGUUAGCAUAUAUGGUCCGGUUCUUCCAUAGCAGUGCUCAAAGUUAAAACUGAAAGUUGAACAUUUUACAGGAAUCACCUGCUAAAGAAGCUUAGCUGAGGAUUCGAGAAAUGAUAGUACCACUAAGAGCGGCAUACCUGCGAUUGCAGCUGAGCAGGUCAGGAGAAGAGAGCAGGCAAUGAUUGCAACCCUGGCCGUCCUUGAUGAGCAGCAGGCCCGACAGAGGCACAGGAAGAGGACGGUGUAUGUGAAGCCCUUGCUGCUUAGACGGGUCACCCUGGAACACUACAACACCCUAUGCAGGAAUUGAUGCGGGAACCGCAUGGUAAGAUUACCUAAGAAUCGAGCCAUUUAUGUUUCGGGAGAUGGUGGACAGACUGACACCGAGAAUUUCUAAGUACAAAGACUGCCGUCCAGGCUUGUACCGUCACCGUAUCUUCUCCGCGCAGCCUCUGCAUGGAACAGUAUGGGCGUCGUACGAUUUCCGUGGAAAGCUUGCGGAGACUGCACGUCAACUGCACUGAAACUGCACGAUUUCCGUAUAAUCUCCGCGCAGCGUCCUUACGGAAUUCUCCCGGUCUUCCCCGAGAGCCUGUACAAAAAAUGGCACGAUAUAAUAUGAACACAUUCGCCGUAGCCCGUAGCCACCUACAAUGCCAAAAAAUGCAUGGAAGAUCGUAGACUAAUUUAUCACACGGCGCCGGGUUCAAAUGUGAAUUAGGCAAUACUAAUGUUAAUGCACAAUUUGUUAAUUUGAUAUUUACAUAAACUAUAUCAGCUAGUAUUUGUUAUUAUUUUCAAAUAUGAAAUUUGGGUCUAGUAUACCUUUGAAUUUCAAAAGUAAAUUCUUGCGUACAAAAUAUUGUACUGAUUCUCUAUCACUGAUGAAGAUAUUUUUUAAAACACAAAAGUCUAUCACACAUUUUAUAUAAACAGGUGUUUAUUGAUGUUAACUGAAUUGCAAUAAACUGAAUAACAAUAUUUACUUCGGUAAAAUCCAAUUCCUUUCGUUUUGAGCUGGAAUGAGAAGGUCAUUCAUCUCCUAUCACUUAUACAUUGAUCAAAUACCGAACAAUUUUUAAUUCAAAUCCACCUGGACGAGUCUCCAAGUAAAUUAUUCAAAGGGAUGAUUAGUGAAUGAUUUUAACUGUAACACAAGUAAAUGAUUCAAAUAUAUAUGCAAGGUGUACCUAAAAAGAUUGCACUUACGUUAAUUCAAACACAUAUGCGUUCAAAUCACGAAAUUAGCAUUUUCAUUAAAUAUAUCAGAGAACAAUGAAAUGAAGAGUGUCUGUAAACAUCAAGAGGUUAUAACUAUGCUGGUUUAUUUGCUCAUUGUCACAUCUUUUAUCGAAUCUUUUAUCUGGGGAAAUAUUAUACUUUUAUUAAAAACAGAAGCAUAAGAAAAGUUAAAAUAGAACCAGUCUGGUACCGAAAGCGCUAUUGCUUUCAUAAUUGUCUUCGCUGAAUUCUUCUUGUGAGGAAAGAGUUUGUUCAUACAAACAUUACCAUGAUGCAUAACAAUGUAAACAUUUUACGACAUAACGUAAUAAAGGCAAUAUGAACAAGGCAUAAAAUACCACUUAAAAAGUGCGUGCCAUUCUCUUUGAAAAUAAUCUGGAUUAUUCACUAGUCGAUAAAAUUCAAUUCACUGGUAAUAACUGUCGUUAGAUGAGUUUCCAGGAAACUGGAAAUGUUAUUUUACAUAUCGACGUCUGAAAUUUUAGGAGCAGCCAGACAAAGACGUUAAAUGACUAAAAAAACUAGCAAUCGAACCAGCUGACUGUAUAAACAGCUGCUUUGUGGUUUUAUUAUAUAGAGGAUAUUUGUUUGUUUUUUGUUUGUUUUAAUAAGUGUAAGAUUGAAAUUUCUGUCAUGGCUGAACACCAGAUACAAUGUUUUUAUGAGUGGCAUAGCCACGAGUGAAAACAUAAGAUGUGUGUAUGAUAUUUUGAUCUUACAUGUAAGACAAAUAAAUUUUCUUUUUAUUUCAUGUUUUGACUAAAUUUACCCAUUUUAUAGGUUCUUAACAGUGAAAAAUAUAUUUGAUAUUUUUCACUCUAAAAAUACCAAAUAUAUUUCACUCUAAUAUUUCGAUAAUUUCCGAAAAUCAUCUAACAAACCCUAUAAAUUUUCGAAUUACAGCACACCGCUGUCAUUUUCUCUGAAUGAUAUCUUCAAACCGAUUAAUUGUUCAAAAUUAAAUAAACUGGAAACUGCUAACAAUUUGUUUUUACCGUGAUGUUUCGCUGUUUAAGUAAGUAGCAUAAUCACCCGACUAGGAAGCACUUUGAGAGUUUUUUUCCUCUUGUCACUGGCGACAGCAGCUAACAGAGGAUCGUACGCCUAGCAGAGCACAUGACUUCC
Mercenaria mercenaria is the source of this 2622-nucleotide long non-coding RNA. RefSeq lists it as uncharacterized. The transcript is spliced from 3 exons. The record is from RefSeq and is a predicted model, not a curated record. NCBI's taxonomy places the organism in Eukaryota, Metazoa, Mollusca, Bivalvia, Venerida, Veneridae.